AGAGUUUGAUCAUGGCUCAGAAUGAACGCUNNGCGGCGUGCUUAACACAUGCAAGUCGUGCGCGAAGGUGGCUUCGGCCACCGGAGAGCGGCGAACGGGUGAGUAACACGUGGGUAUCUGCCUUGGAGUGGGGGAUAACCUGGGGGAAACUCGGGCUAAUACCGCAUACGUCGGCGGGGGUUGCGGCCCCGCCAAGAAAAGCUGGCCUCUGCUUGCAAGCUAGCGCUCCUGGAGGAGCCCGCGGCUGAUUAGCUAGUUGGUGGGGUAAUGGCCCACCAAGGCGACGAUCAGUAGCCGGCCUGAGAGGGUGAUCGGCCACACUGGGACUGAGACACGGCCCAGACUCCUACGGGAGGCAGCAGUGGGGAAUAUUGGACAAUGGGCGCAAGCCUGAUCCAGCAACGCCGCGUGGAGGACGAAGGUCUUCGGAUCGUAAACUCCUGUCAGGCGGGACGAAAAGGCGUCGGCGAACAUCCGGCGUCUCUGACGGUACCGCCAGAGGAAGCCCCGGCUAACUCCGUGCCAGCAGCCGCGGUAAUACGGAGGGGGCGAGCGUUAUUCGGAAUUAUUGGGCGUAAAGGGCGCGUAGGCGGCUUGGUAAGUCAAAGGUGAAAUCCCUCGGCUCAACUGAGGAACUGCCUUUGAAACUGCCUGGCUUGAGGCCGGGAGGGGGUAGCGGAAUUCCCAAUGUAGCGGUGAAAUGCGUAGAUAUUGGGAGGAACACCGGUGGCGAAGGCGGCUACCUGGACCGGUUCUGACGCUGAUGCGCGAAAGCGUGGGGAGCAAACAGGAUUAGAUACCCUAGUAGUCC
Molecule: ribosomal RNA, 811 nt
Filed under: uncultured bacterium
Lineage: Bacteria
Description: bacterial SSU rRNA
Rfam family: Bacterial small subunit ribosomal RNA
Source: RNAcentral